UACGGAGGAUGCAAGCGUUAUCCGGAUUUAUUGGGUUUAAAGGGUGCGCAGGUGGUUUAAUAAGUCAGUGGUGAAAGUCUGCCGCUUAACGGUAGGAUUGCCAUUGAUACUGUUGGACUUGAAUAUGGAUGAGGUAGGCGGAAUGUGUAGUGUGGCGGUGAAAUGCUUAGAUAUUACACAGAACACCGAUUGCGAAGGCAGCUUACUAAUCCAUGAUUGACGCUGAGGCACGAAAGCGUGGGGAUCAAACUGGAUUA
Molecule: ribosomal RNA, 257 nt
Filed under: uncultured prokaryote
Description: partial 16S ribosomal RNA
Rfam family: Bacterial small subunit ribosomal RNA
Source: RNAcentral